CGCGCGUUCCCAUUUUGUUGGUUUCUGAGAUCGCCGUAAUGAUUAAUAGGGAUAGUUGGGGGCAUUUGUAUUCCGUCGUCAGAGGUGAAAUUCUUGGAUUGCCGGAAGACAAACUACUGCGAAAGCAUUUGCCAAGGAUGUUUUCAUUGAUCAAGAACGAAGGAAGGGGGAUCGAAAACGAUCAGAUACCGUUGUAGUCUCUUCUGUAAACUAUGCGAACUGGGGAUUAGCACAGGAUCUUAAUGACUGUGUUAGCACCCAAAGAGAAAUCUUAAGUGACGUUCGGGGGGGAGUAUGGUCGCAAGGCUGAAACUUAAAGGAAUUGACGGAAGGGCACCACCAGGUGUGGAGCCUGCGGCUUAAUUUGACUCAACACGGGGAAACUCACCAGGUCCAGA
RNAcentral lists this ribosomal RNA (398 nucleotides) under uncultured fungus. RNAcentral describes it as "SSU rRNA". It matches the Rfam family "Eukaryotic small subunit ribosomal RNA", at positions 827 to 1228 of the family's 1831-position model. Lineage: Eukaryota; Fungi. The record is from RNAcentral.